UACGUAGGGGGCAAGCGUUAUCCGGAUUUACUGGGUGUAAAGGGGGCGUAGACGGCGAAGCAAGUCUGAAGUGAAAGGACGGGGCCAACCCCGGAACUGCUUUGGAAACUGUUUGGCUAGAGUGCGGGAGGGGUAAGCGGAAUUCCUAGUGUAGCGGUGAAAUGCGUAGAUAUUAGGAGGAACACCGGUGGCGAAGGCGGCUUACUGGACCGUAACUGGCGUUGAGGCUCGAAGGCGUGGGGAGCAAACA
RNAcentral lists this ribosomal RNA (250 nucleotides) under uncultured prokaryote. RNAcentral's name for it is "partial 16S ribosomal RNA". It matches the Rfam family "Bacterial small subunit ribosomal RNA", at positions 524 to 774 of the family's 1533-position model. The record is from RNAcentral.